RNAcentral lists this ribosomal RNA (715 nucleotides) under uncultured Alteromonas sp. RNAcentral describes it as "bacterial SSU rRNA". It matches the Rfam family "Bacterial small subunit ribosomal RNA", at positions 8 to 719 of the family's 1533-position model. Lineage: Bacteria; Pseudomonadati; Pseudomonadota; Gammaproteobacteria; Alteromonadales; Alteromonadaceae. The record is from RNAcentral.
AGAGUUUGAUCCUGGCUCAGAUUGAACGCUGGCGGCAGGCCUAACACAUGCAAGUCGAACGGUAACAGGAAGUGCUUGCACUUCGCUGACGAGUGGCGGACGGGUGAGUAAUGCUUGGGAACUUGCCUUUGCGAGGGGGAUAACAGUUGGAAACGACUGCUAAUACCGCAUAAUGCCUACGGACCAAACGGGGCUUUUAGCUCCGGCGCAAAGAGAGGCCCAAGUGAGAUUAGCUAGUUGGUAAGGUAACGGCUUACCAAGGCGACGAUCUCUAGCUGUUCUGAGAGGAAGAUCAGCCACACUGGGACUGAGACACGGCCCAGACUCCUACGGGAGGCAGCAGUGGGGAAUAUUGCACAAUGGGGGAAACCCUGAUGCAGCCAUGCCGCGUGUGUGAAGAAGGCCUUCGGGUUGUAAAGCACUUUCAGUUGUGAGGAAAAGUUAGUAGUUAAUACCUGCUAGCCGUGACGUUAACAACAGAAGAAGCACCGGCUAACUCCGUGCCAGCAGCCGCGGUAAUACGGAGGGUGCGAGCGUUAAUCGGAAUUACUGGGCGUAAAGCGCACGCAGGCGGUUUGUUAAGCUAGAUGUGAAAGCCCCGGGCUCAACCUGGGAUGGUCAUUUAGAACUGGCAGACUAGAGUCUUGGAGAGAGGAGUGGAAUUCCAGGUGUAGCGGUGAAAUGCGUAGAUAUCUGGAGGAACAUCAGUGGCGAA